CUUUCCCUCUUUCUUCCUGCCUUACACAUGCAAGUCGAACGGCAGCAUGAUCUAGCUUGCUCGAUUGAUGGCGAGUGGCGAACGGGUGAGUAAUACAUCGGAACGUGCCCUGUAGUGGGGGAUAACUAGUCGAAAGAUUAGCUAAUACCGCAUACGACCUGAGGGUGAAAGUGGGGGACCGCAAGGCCUCAUGCUCUAGGAGCGGCCGAUGUCUGAUUAGCUAGUUGGUGAGGUAAAGGCUCACCAAGGCGACGAUCAGUAGCUGGUCUGAGAGGACGAUCAGCCACACUGGGACUGAGACACGGCCCAGACUCCUACGGGAGGCAGCAGUGGGGAAUUUUGGACAAUGGGCGAAAGCCUGAUCCAGCAAUGCCGCGUGUGUGAAGAAGGCCUUCGGGUUGUAAAGCACUUUUGUCCGGAAAGAAAUGGCUCUGGUUAAUACCUGGGGUCGAUGACGGUACCGGAAGAAUAAGGACCGGCUAACUACGUG
This 490-nucleotide ribosomal RNA is filed under the name uncultured bacterium. Its description in RNAcentral is "partial 16S ribosomal RNA". It matches the Rfam family "Bacterial small subunit ribosomal RNA", at positions 36 to 507 of the family's 1533-position model. The record is from RNAcentral.